This 125-nucleotide ribosomal RNA is filed under the name Hypocreales sp. RNAcentral's name for it is "partial small subunit ribosomal RNA". It matches the Rfam family "Eukaryotic small subunit ribosomal RNA", at positions 1657 to 1779 of the family's 1831-position model. The record is from RNAcentral. Lineage: Eukaryota; Fungi; Ascomycota; Sordariomycetes; Hypocreales.
CCUUUGUACACACCGCCCGUCGCUACUACCGAUUGAAUGGCUUAGUGAGGCCCUCGGAUUGGCCCAGAGAGGUGGGCAACUACCACUCAGGGCCGGAAAGCUCUCCAAACUCGGUCAUUUAGAGG